AGAUAUACAUAGAAAGAGUGAGUGAGAAAGAAGUAGAUAUACAUAGAAAGAGAGAGAGAGAGAGAGAGAGAGAGAGAGAGAGAGAGAGAGAGAGAGAGAGAAAAGCUUGGCUUUAUCGUGAGCCAAUCCGAGCUGUGACCUUGAGGAGCUCUAGAAAGAGAGAUAUAUUUAGUCGUGAGCGGAUCGAGCUGGCUGCUGCCAUAGCCUGCUAGCACUCUUGCAUUAAUGUGUGCGUGUUGUAUGUGUAUGUGUAUGCGAUGUGUAACUGAGCUAUGUGAGCUGUGCCAUAGUAGAUAUAGCUGUUCUGUUGCUGUAGUUGCUCUCUCUAUGGAUAUAUAUAUAUAUACAUAGAUACCUAGUUGUCCCUCUAUAUGUGAGUUCUAACUUCUCUAGAGUCUUUCUUUCUUGCUCUUUCUCUAGAACGUAGAACAUAGAACGUAGAACGUAGAACCUUGCUGCUAAACGUGGAUAAUAACUUUGGAACAACCGCUAUACGUGUUUUUCAGAAGACACGCUUCCGUGAAUACGGGAUAUAUGUACUAUACGUGACACCUGAGAUAUAAAGAUGUGUAGUUACGUGCGCAUAUAUAUAUGUAUAUGUAUAUGAAUAUGGUAUAUUUGUUUUUAGUUGCCUUUGAGAUACGACGACGACAAUGACAACGACGACGACGACAACGACAACGACGACGAUACGGACGAGGAGUCAUGGGGUACUCAAACUUACUCGGCCCAAUUUCCGUGAAGCUCUCAAGCGUUACGAGGCCACUGGGCAUUCCUAAAUUACAGUUGGUACUUCCGCCACCUAGUAUCUCCUCUGUUAAUCUACAGGAUGUUCCAUGAACUCGACACAGAAGCUGAUACACGCUCGACGUAGAAAGGAGAACGGAGGAACGAGUGGGUGUGAGUUUCCGUUUAACCCUUUACACACGCGUUACACAUGAUAUGGCACGCGGUGAAGUGAGUCCCACGGAAGAGAAACGACGACAACGACGACGACGACGACGAUGAUGAUGAUGAUGACGAUGACGACGAUGGAUGUAGGGGCGGGUUUUUUAAAACCUCAUUCACGUAACACGAAGAGAUAUUUUAAUUAAAAUUUUUUUUAUUUAGAACCGCAAAUACAAAAAAUUUUUCAAAAUAAAUUAAUUCGUUAAAGGUGUAACAAGCUGUAUGAAAAAAUGAAGAAAUUUCAAUGAAAAAAAAAAAAAGAAAAAAAAAGUUUCAAUUAUUUAAAUAUCUAUAUAGAACGAAAGCAUUAUGAGGUCUCGCGAAUUACUUCUUUUCUGUUUUCUUUUUCUUCUCGAUUUAUUUCACCAAAUAUUCAAACCCUGUCGUCGUCCCCAUGUGUUUUUUCGGAAAACCGGAGUCCAAUAGAAAGCAACACAACGAGGACGACGGGCCGAUGCAACAGGCGGCCGAAGGUUCCGUUCUUUUACGACCGAAAGAGAAAGCAAGAGAAACGUAUAUCCCGAGAGUGAGAGUGAAAAACUCUGCGGGAUAGGACGAACGAACGAACGGAUACUCGAAUGGAUAUAGUGAGAAAGAGAGAUGGAAUACGAAAAAGAG
Long non-coding RNA from Vespa crabro (European hornet), 1566 nucleotides. RefSeq lists it as uncharacterized. The transcript has 4 exons. The record is from RefSeq and is a predicted model, not a curated record. Lineage: Eukaryota; Metazoa; Arthropoda; Insecta; Hymenoptera; Vespidae.